UACGUAGGUGGCAAGCGUUGUCCGGAUUUAUUGGGCGUAAAGCGAGCGCAGGCGGAAAGAUAAGUCUGGAGUGAAACGUAUGAGCUCAACUCAUGCAUGGCUCUGGAAACUGGAGGACUGGAGAGCAGGAGAGGGCGGUGGAACUCCAUGUGUAGCGGUAAAAUGCGUAGAUAUAUGGAAGAACACCAGUGGCGAAGGCGGCCGCCUGGCCUGUUGCUGACGCUGAGGCACGAAAGCGUGGGGAGCAAAUAGG
RNAcentral lists this ribosomal RNA (253 nucleotides) under uncultured Allobaculum sp. RNAcentral's name for it is "partial 16S ribosomal RNA". It matches the Rfam family "Bacterial small subunit ribosomal RNA", at positions 524 to 776 of the family's 1533-position model. Lineage: Bacteria; Bacillati; Bacillota; Erysipelotrichia; Erysipelotrichales; Erysipelotrichaceae. The record is from RNAcentral.